UGGGGGAUAUUGCACAAUGGAGGAAACUCUGAUGCAGCAACGCCGCGUGAGGGAUGAAGGUUUUCGGAUUGUAAACCUCUGUCCUUAGUGAAGAACAAAAUGACGGUAACUAAGGAGGAAGCUCCGGCUAACUACGUGCCAGCAGCCGCGGUAAUACGUAGGGAGCGAGCGUUGUCCGGAUUUAUUGGGUGUAAAGGGUGCGUAGGCGGUUAUGUAAGUCAGGCGUGUAAUGCAGAGGCUUAACCUCUGAACUGCGUUUGAAACUGCGUAACUUGAGUGGAGUAGAGGCAGAUGGAAUUUCCAGUGUAGCGGUGAAAUGCGUAGAUAUUGGAAGGAACACCAGUGGCGAAGGCGAUCUGCUGGGCUCUAACUGACGCUGAGGCACGAAAGCAUGGGGAGCAAACAGG
This 407-nucleotide ribosomal RNA is filed under the name uncultured bacterium. RNAcentral describes it as "bacterial SSU rRNA". It matches the Rfam family "Bacterial small subunit ribosomal RNA", at positions 355 to 776 of the family's 1533-position model. RNAcentral also lists the same sequence under 1 other name. The record is from RNAcentral.